Molecule: ribosomal RNA, 254 nt
Filed under: uncultured bacterium
Lineage: Bacteria
Description: partial 16S ribosomal RNA
Rfam family: Bacterial small subunit ribosomal RNA
Source: RNAcentral
GACGAACCGUGCGAACGUUAUUCGGAAUCACUGGGCUUAAAGCGCGUGUAGGCGGGGUGGCACGUCCGUCGCUGAAAUCCCCCGGCUCAACCGGGGAACGGGCGCGGAUACGACCAUCCUCGAGGGACGUAGGGGGACCUGGAACUUCCGGUGGAGCGGUGAAAUGCGCAGAUAUCAGGAGGAACACCAAUGGCGAAGGCAGCUCGCUGGGACGGUACUGACACUGAGACGCGAAAGCGUGGGGAGCAAACAGG